RNA transcript from Magnolia sinica, 1383 nucleotides. RefSeq lists it as uncharacterized. NCBI's taxonomy places the organism in Eukaryota, Viridiplantae, Streptophyta, Magnoliopsida, Magnoliales, Magnoliaceae. The transcript has 7 exons. The record is from RefSeq and is a predicted model, not a curated record.
CCACUUGUUGGCCUCGGUUGCAUAGGAACCGAGGCUAAAAGUCUGAUAUACAAAUACGACAGGCGCGCAUGGAUGCUUUUUCCCUGACUCCUUUUCUCACUCGUUGUGCGAGCGAGCGAGAGAGAUCUUCGUUCUCUUUCUAGGGUUUUCCCCUAGGAAUUUCACACCUCGAUCGUCCUUCCUUUUUUUUCAUUUAAUUUUCUACAAAUCUCUUUGAUUUCUUCGAUCUUUGAAGAGCCUGUCAAGACCUCGAUCUCUUUCUUCGCUUUUUCGCCUAGGGUUUCUGCUCCCGAUUCAUAGAUUUGACUCCUUUUUUCUCGUUUUCUCAACUUCAAUCUCUAUAAAAGAGUUGGAAUCCUUCUUCGCCGCUCCUUUCUAGGGUUCCUGCUCGAGAUUUGCUGUUUUGUUCGUUGGGUUCCUGGAAAAUACAUUCAAGAAGGUUGGGAGAAUGCAGCAGAGAUUGAAGCAGCAGCAACAGCAACAAGCCCUAUUGCAGCAGGCAUUGCUACAGAAGAAGCAACUCUACCAUCCUAGCAUCCUCAUGGCUGCCAUGUCUCAGGUACCAUUCCAGUAUCAGAUUUCCCCCCAAAUUUCUCAGUUUUCGUCCAUGGGCACUGGUGCUAUAAGAGGAUUACCCAAAUGAGAAGAAGAAAAAGAAGGUGACAAGUUUUAUUCUUUUGCCAGAGAAGAAGAAGGUGACAAGUUUUAUUCUUUUGCAAGAGAAGAAGGUGACAAGUUUUAUUAUUUAUAGGUUUUGACCCUUCCACUUUCAUGCCUGAUUAAAGUUCUCCUCCGCCCUUUGAUUUUACAGAUGCGGAUUGGCUUGUUACCCGAGGUUGUAUCGUGGUGAUCCAAUGUUAAAUCCUCUUACACCUUGGGAUAGACCUCCAUUGAAAAACAUUUUCUGUAUAUAUGAGAUCGAUAUGAAGACUGAGAUUGAAGGUUAUUGUUCAAGGUUAUAGGAUGUGAAGACUGGUGGAGGCAAGUUUUUUCAGCACAAGGCUUAUUGUGAAAAGCAUAUCUUGGAUCAGAAAAAGAAGGCCGAGAGUCUGCAACAUGGACCUGAUGAGGUCCGCCACAUUAAGCAAAUCCAACCAGCAGCCCAGAGCUACCUGUUGAGGUUGCAAGGCCUGCUACGCACAAUUCGAAUGGAGAAUGCUGGUGGAGGCAAUGAUGACGCUGGCCUGGAAGCAGCAGAAGAUGGAUGGGUAGUGUUAUCUUAAGGUCUGCCAAGCAUGACGGCACCGGUGAUGAAGGUCGCAACCAUGACUUUGUAUUAUUUAUGGAACCAAAUGUUGUGUAACAGUUUGAUUGAGUUAAACUUUAAAUAGACUGUUGUUAACUGUUUUGUUGGUAUUAUGGCUUUCAUGAUUGAUUGUUUCA